Molecule: ribosomal RNA, 440 nt
Filed under: uncultured bacterium
Lineage: Bacteria
Description: partial 16S ribosomal RNA
Rfam family: Bacterial small subunit ribosomal RNA
Source: RNAcentral
CCUACGGGAGGCUGCAGUGGGGAAUAUUGCACAAUGGGGGAAACCCUGAUGCAGCGACGCCGCGUGAGUGAAGAAGGAAUUCGUUAUGUAAAGCUCUAUCAGCAGGGAAGAAAAUGACGGUACGUGAGGAAGAAGCCCUGGCUAACAACGUGCCAGCAGCCGCGGGAAUACGUAGGGGGCAAGCGUUAUCCGGAUUUACUGGGUGUAAGGGGAGGGUAGACGGGAGUGCAAGUCUGGAGUGAAAGGCGGGGGCUCAACCCCCGGACUGCUCUUGAAACUGGAUGGCUGGAGUGCAGUUGAGGUAAGUGGAAUUCCUAGUGUAGCGGUGAAAUGCGUAGAUAUUACGAGGAACACCAGUUGCGAAGGCAGCUUACUGAACUGUAACUGACGUUGAGGCUCGAAAGCGUGGGGAGCAAACAGGAUUAGAUACCCUUGUAGUC